This 319-nucleotide long non-coding RNA is filed under the name Cricetulus griseus (Chinese hamster). RNAcentral's name for it is "lncRNA (ENSCGRG00000024460.1)". The record is from RNAcentral. Lineage: Eukaryota; Metazoa; Chordata; Mammalia; Rodentia; Cricetidae.
UUGAAAAACCAUUGUUAUUUCUAAGAAUUUAUUCAAUGUCAUAGUUUUCUUCCCUAACUGUGCAUGGAGCUUAAGGCCUGACUGCAGACUACUUGCAGCUGUCUUAGGAACAUGUGGAAAUCAGCAGAAGAGCCCAUGGAUACCCUGACCCUUGGAAACCUAUCAACUCAGCUCUCCACCUCUUCAAGAAGCACUGUUUACAGUUUUGGGAGAGAAUGUCUAAAUCUCCUCAGCCUCAACAUGACAAUCGUUCAUCAUCUGUUUCUUCUCAAGAAAAUAGUGUGGCAAGAACGAUCUGGCAGGGAAAACCAAAAAACGG